RNAcentral lists this ribosomal RNA (424 nucleotides) under uncultured bacterium. RNAcentral describes it as "bacterial SSU rRNA". It matches the Rfam family "Bacterial small subunit ribosomal RNA", at positions 355 to 776 of the family's 1533-position model. The record is from RNAcentral.
UGAGGAAUAUUGGUCAAUGGGCGCAAGCCUGAACCAGCCAUGCCGCGUGCAGGAAGAAUGCCCUAUGGGUUGUAAACUGCUUUUAUUUGGGAAUAAACCUUCUUACGUGUAAGAAGCUGAAGGUACCAAAUGAAUAAGCACCGGCUAACUCCGUGCCAGCAGCCGCGGUAAUACGGAGGGUGCAAGCGUUAUCCGGAAUCAUUGGGUUUAAAGGGUCCGCAGGCGGGACUAUAAGUCAGUGGUGAAAUCUCAUAGCUUAACUAUGAAACUGCCAUUGAUACUGUAGUUCUUGAAUGUGGUCGAAGUGGGCGGAAUAUGACAUGUAGCGGUGAAAUGCAUAGAUAUGUCAUAGAACACCGAUAGCGAAGGCAGCUCACUAGGCCAUAAUUGACGCUCAUGGACGAAAGCGUGGGGAGCAAACAGG